Non-coding RNA from Monodelphis domestica (gray short-tailed opossum), 303 nucleotides. NCBI's taxonomy places the organism in Eukaryota, Metazoa, Chordata, Mammalia, Didelphimorphia, Didelphidae. The record is from RefSeq and is a predicted model, not a curated record.
CCGGAAGCAGAAUUUUCUACCAUAACAUACUCUUGUUCUACCAGACACGGUUGCAUCUUAGCUGGACGGGGCAGUUUCCUUUGCUGAAUCUACUCAAAUCAAGAAUUAUCCAGUCCAGGCCCAAAUCCCCUUGAAGAUUCUGGUGAAAUCAUAUAGUGCUAAAUAGAGAAAAUGAAACACAGGCAAGCAAGUUCCUUAACUAAGAGGGGAAAGAAGUAACAGCAAAAUCCAAGGCAAGUAUGAAUCACAUUCAAUCUAAUACUAUUUUUUUAAGAUUCAAGAAUCUAUAAAUAUCACUCUACA